GGCAACCCUGACGGAGCAACGCCGCGUGUGGGAGGACGGCCUUCGGGUUGUAAACCCCUUUUCUCAGGGAAGAAGUUCUGACGGUACCUGAGGAAUCAGCCUCGGCUAACUCCGUGCCAGCAGCCGCGGUAAUACGGAGGAGGCAAGCGUUAUCCGGAAUCAUUGGGCGUAAAGCGUUCGUAGGCGGCUGUUCAAGUCUGCUGUCAAAGACCGAGGCUCAACCUCGGGUCGGCAGUGGAAACUGGAUAGCUAGAGGUCGGUAGGGGCAAAGGGAAUUCCCAGUGUAGCGGUGAAAUGCGUAGAUAUUGGGAAGAACACCGGUGGCGAAAGCGCUUUGCUGGACCGAACCUGACGCUGAGGGACGAAAGCUAGGGGAGCG
This 379-nucleotide ribosomal RNA is filed under the name uncultured cyanobacterium. RNAcentral describes it as "bacterial SSU rRNA". It matches the Rfam family "Bacterial small subunit ribosomal RNA", at positions 376 to 770 of the family's 1533-position model. The record is from RNAcentral. Lineage: Bacteria; Bacillati; Cyanobacteriota.